AUGUAUCCAUCCCCCACUUCCUUUCGCGUGCCGGGGGAAACCCUAGGACACGUCCGGGCAGCAGCGUCGUCGACAUCGCAUCCCUUGUUGGAGGUGCUGCUUGGUACGCGGUGGGUCGGAGCCUGGGUCUAUGGUGGGUCAAUUUCGGAGGGCGCAGCGGUGGCGGGUCAUCCGCGCUUUGUCGAGUUGCCGUUGUUGGCAUUUCUUUCUUCUUCUUUGUUCUUUUUCUUUUCUUUGGGCUUGCUGUGCUUCUCGCCCGAGCAUUCCUAUGUAUCGGUGUUGGUUGCUUUGGAAUACAAAGCGGGGGAAACCCUUUUUCGGUAA
RNAcentral lists this ribosomal RNA (324 nucleotides) under Triticum aestivum (bread wheat). RNAcentral's name for it is "partial small subunit ribosomal RNA". The record is from RNAcentral. Lineage: Eukaryota; Viridiplantae; Streptophyta; Magnoliopsida; Poales; Poaceae.